UACGAAGGGGGCGAGCGUUGUUCGGAUUUACUGGGCGUAAAGGGCGCGUAGGCGGACGUUUAAGUCGGGGGUGAAAGCCCGGGGCUCAACCUCGGAAUUGCCUUCGAUACUGGACGUCUUGAGUACGGGAGAGGUGAGUGGAACUCCGAGUGUAGAGGUGAAAUUCGUAGAUAUUCGGAAGAACACCAGUGGCGAAGGCGGCAUCCUGGACCGGUAUUGACGCUGAUGCGCGAAAGCCAGGGGAGCAAACGGG
Molecule: ribosomal RNA, 253 nt
Filed under: uncultured bacterium
Lineage: Bacteria
Description: partial 16S ribosomal RNA
Rfam family: Bacterial small subunit ribosomal RNA
Source: RNAcentral